CUGAAUUGUCAACAGGAGUUGUUGCUGGUCUCCAAACGGAGUCAUGUGCACGCUCUGUUCGCACAUCCACUCACACCUGUGCACCCUCUGUAGUUCUACGGUUGGGGGGUCCUGCUCUCCUUCUGUGGUUCUGCGUCUUUACACACGCUCUGUAUUAAAGUUUCGUGAGAUGUAAGUUGCGAUUGACGCAAUACAAUACAACUUUCAGCAACGGAUCUCUUGGCUCUCGCAUCGAUGAAGAACGCAGCGAAAUGCGAUAAGUAAUGUGAAUUGCAGAAUUCAGUGAAUCAUCGAAUCUUUGAACGCACCUUGCACCCUUUGGCCAUUCCGGAGGGCAUGCCUGUUUGAGUAUCAUAAACACCUCAACUCUCAUGGUUUUCUGUGACGAGCUUGGACUUUGGGGGUUUUGCUGGCCUGCAGUCAGCUCCUCUUAAAUGAAUCAGCUUAACCAGUGUUUGUUGGCAUCACGGUGUGAUAACUAUCUACACUUGUGAUUUACCACCAGGUAAACCUUCAGCAAUGGAGGUUCACUGGAGCUCACAAACGUCACUCCCCAGUGAGGACAACUCUUUUGAAUG
This 578-nucleotide small RNA is filed under the name uncultured Tomentella. RNAcentral describes it as "eukaryotic LSU rRNA". The stretch from base 200 to 354 matches the Rfam family "5.8S ribosomal RNA". The record is from RNAcentral. Lineage: Eukaryota; Fungi; Basidiomycota; Agaricomycetes; Thelephorales; Thelephoraceae.